AGCAUUGGCCAACAGCUGCUUUUUAAGUAGAGGAAAGUCCACGCUAGCACAAUCUGAGAUGAUUGUAGUGUUCAUGUUGGAUCUAAUAAAUCCAAGCUUAGACGACUAGUGCCACAGAGACGAGAAUUGUGAAACGCGGUAAACUCCAUGAGCUAGAAACCCAAAUUUUGGUAGGGGAACUUUUUCAAGAGAAUUCAAUUAAGAAAAAGAAUUAUCUUUUUUGAUAAUUAGAUAAAUUGUUGGCACUCUUAAGAGUACAAAACGUGGCUUAUAGAU
RNAcentral lists this RNase P RNA (276 nucleotides) under Mycoplasmopsis gallinarum. RNAcentral describes it as "Mycoplasma gallinarum Bacterial RNase P class B". It matches the Rfam family "Bacterial RNase P class B". From Rfam's summary of the family: Ribonuclease P (RNase P) is a ubiquitous endoribonuclease, found in archaea, bacteria and eukarya as well as chloroplasts and mitochondria. Lineage: Bacteria; Bacillati; Mycoplasmatota; Mycoplasmoidales; Metamycoplasmataceae. The record is from Rfam by way of RNAcentral.